GAUCAUGGCUCAGGAUGAACGCUGGCGGCGUGCCUAACACAUGCAAGUCGAACGAACUUUUCAUGAAGCCUAGCGAUUGAAAAGUUAGUGGCGGACGGGUGAGUAACGCGUGGGUAACCUGCCUUGUACUGGGGGACAACAGUUGGAAACGACUGCUAAUACCGCAUAAGCGCACAGCUUCGCAUGAAGCAGUGUGAAAAACUCCGGUGGUACAAGAUGGACCCGCGUCCGAUUAG
Molecule: ribosomal RNA, 236 nt
Filed under: uncultured bacterium
Lineage: Bacteria
Description: partial 16S ribosomal RNA
Rfam family: Bacterial small subunit ribosomal RNA
Source: RNAcentral